This is a long non-coding RNA of Panthera uncia (snow leopard), 656 nucleotides long. RefSeq lists it as uncharacterized. Lineage: Eukaryota; Metazoa; Chordata; Mammalia; Carnivora; Felidae. The record is from RefSeq and is a predicted model, not a curated record. The transcript is spliced from 3 exons.
CCCCUAUGUCAGUCUCUGUUGCAAAGGCCUAUAGGUACAACAGUGGAAAACAAAAAUCCAGCCAAAAUCACUGUUCUCAUGGAGCUUACAUUCUAGUGGGAGAUCAAAUCCAGGAAGAAGUGAUCUCAUAUGGGUAUUAAAGCAAAGGAUGACUUCAGAAGGUUGGGGGCCUAAGGACAUUCAGAUGCAAAAGUUAAGACAAGAAGAAGAAAGGGGAAGAAGAAAAGAACAAGGAGAUGGAGUGAAACAAUCACAGAACUCAGUGUUGGAAACUUAGAGAUCACCUGGUUUGAAUUUUACCUGUGUUGUGAAUCCCUGCUGUGCUGCCCUUCUUCUGUUGACCUGAAAACUUUCAGUUAAGCUUUGACUCAUUUUUGCUAUUGAGGCCCAUAGAAUAAGCCUUAACUACACCAGCUUUCAGGAAAAAGGACCGUGAUCUAUAAAGCUGGAAGAAACAAGCACACAUAUUUGAAAACAACUUUAAAAUAUGCUCACUUAAAAUUUGCUUUUUAAAUAUUUUUUCAAGUAGGUUCAAAAAUAUUAAGUUCAGAGUGAUCUUAUCUUGAUAAAGGAGGGAUAUGUUAUAAAUAUAUAUGAAAAGAAAGUCCAGAAAGAUGUACAUACUAAUGCCAAAUAUCUGCAUGAUGAAGUUAUGG